This is a non-coding RNA of Mesocricetus auratus (golden hamster), 114 nucleotides long. The record is from Rfam. NCBI's taxonomy places the organism in Eukaryota, Metazoa, Chordata, Mammalia, Rodentia, Cricetidae.
GUGUUGUAUAAAAGGUGACUUCUCCUUAGCACUUCUCUUGACAAGGAUGGAAGGGGCCCUCUGGCCUUGCAACACCUUGAUGAUUAAGGCAUUGCCACUUUUUUUUUUUUUUUU